GACAGAGGGGGCUAGCGUUGCUCGGAAUCACUGGGCGUAAAGGGCGCGUAGGCGGGGCGGCAAGUCGGUCGUGAAAUCCUCCGGCUCAACCGGAGAACGUCGGCCGAAACUGCCGCUCUUGAGGGAUGCAGAGGAGACUGGAAUUCCCGGUGUAGCGGUGAAAUGUGUAGAGAUCGGGAGGAACACCGGUGGCGAAGGCGGGUCUCUGGGCAUCUCCUGACGCUGAGGCGCGAAAGCGUGGGGAGCAAACGGG
RNAcentral lists this ribosomal RNA (253 nucleotides) under uncultured bacterium. RNAcentral's name for it is "partial 16S ribosomal RNA". It matches the Rfam family "Bacterial small subunit ribosomal RNA", at positions 524 to 776 of the family's 1533-position model. The record is from RNAcentral.